GACGGAGGGCGCGAGCGUUGUUCGGAAUCACUGGGCGUAAAGCGCGCGCAGGCGGACUGGGCAAGUCGGCAGUGAAAUCCCGGGGCUCAACUCCGGGACGGCUGCCGAAACUGCGAGUCUGGAGACCGGUAGAGGUGGGUGGAAUUCCCGGUGUAGCGGUGGAAUGCGUAGAGAUCGGGAAGAACACCUGUGGCGAAGGCGGCCCACUGGGCCGGUUCUGACGCUGAGGCGCGAAAGCGUGGGGAGCAAACAGG
This 254-nucleotide ribosomal RNA is filed under the name uncultured bacterium. RNAcentral describes it as "partial 16S ribosomal RNA". It matches the Rfam family "Bacterial small subunit ribosomal RNA", at positions 524 to 776 of the family's 1533-position model. The record is from RNAcentral.